This 397-nucleotide ribosomal RNA is filed under the name uncultured bacterium. RNAcentral's name for it is "bacterial SSU rRNA". It matches the Rfam family "Bacterial small subunit ribosomal RNA", at positions 362 to 776 of the family's 1533-position model. The record is from RNAcentral.
UAUUGCACAAUGGGGGAAACCCUGAUGCAGCGACGCCGCGUGAGGGAAGAAGGUUUUCGGAUUGUAAACCUCUGUCCUUGGUGACGAAAGAAGACGGUAGCCACGGAGGAAGCCACGGCUAACUACGUGCCAGCAGCCGCGGUAAUACGUAGGUGGCAAGCGUUGUCCGGAAUUACUGGGUGUAAAGGGAGCGUAGGCGGGAGGAUAAGUUGGACGUAUAAACUAUCGGCUCAACCGGUAGAGGCGUUCAAAACUGUCCUUCUUGAGUGAAGUAGAGGUAAGCGGAAUUCCUAGUGUAGCGGUGAAAUGCGUAAAUAUUAGGAGGAACACCAGUGGCGAAGGCGGCUUACUGGGCUUUAACUGACGCUGAGGCUCGAAAGCGUGGGUAGCAAACAGG